This is a long non-coding RNA of Cavia porcellus (domestic guinea pig), 1373 nucleotides long. RefSeq lists it as uncharacterized. The record is from RefSeq and is a predicted model, not a curated record. Lineage: Eukaryota; Metazoa; Chordata; Mammalia; Rodentia; Caviidae. The transcript has 3 exons.
UUUUUGGCUGGGCAGGACUGAGCCAAGGGUUGGAAGACAGGAUCGGGGGUGAGGAGGAGGGUGAGCCUCGGAUCUGUGCCAACUGAGGGAAGUGGCUUCCCAACGGCGGCGAGGAGCCCAGGCAGCCUGGCUGCUUCUCAGAUCAUCCAGGACCAGCUCGCCCUGCUAUGUGGCCCAGACAAACUGCAGAGCCCGUGUCCUGUUCUUGAAAGAGGACGGGAUUUCAGAGCUCAGAGAGGGCCAGGGGUGCCCAAGGCCAAGAAGAGGGCUAGUGAGCCCCUGGUCCCAGCAUCUCCCCUGCCUGGAGGACCUGGCUCCCAACCCCAUGCCACCCAGGAAGGCUCAGCUGGGGUCCAGAUGGGUGGCCAGUAGCACACGGGCUGCAGAUGUCAGGAGACAGAAAUUCGGCCGGGGGCAGACACCUGGAUUCCAUUAAUGCACAUCCGGGGAGCUGCCCUGCCUCAGGUCCACAGGGAAGCUACUGGGUGGGGGAGAAGGGAAACAGUUCAUCCUGGGGCCUUGGCGCUUAUUCAGUGUCCCGCUGGUUGUCCCUGCUCACCCCCAAGGUGGUCACCUCCUCUGAUUUUCUCAACUCUGAGCUCAAAUGCAUCUGCAGGCCUCAGGCAGCAGCAACUCCGCAAAGUGGGGCCCUCACUGUCCUGGGUCUCAAUUUCUGCUCCUCCUUAUGCAGCCACCGUGGCUUAUCACGGGUGACGGUAAUGGCCCCAGGAAAGCUCUAGCAGCUGUGUCACCUUGACCAAAAUCUGGGUGUCCAAGAGAGGGCCCCCGGCAGGUUGGCGGACAGCAAGAAAAGACAAGCCGUGUAGGAUGAGAGAGCAGGUGCUGCCCCUUCUCCCUGCCCACUGGCUCUCGGGACAGGGUCCGAAUUCUACUUGAAGUCCAGCCUGAGCUCUCUGACCCAUGCUAGUGAUCACCGAGUGUCUGGCCUCCUGCCUGGCUUCCUGGUGAGCUGAAGACACAGAGUGGGGAGCGGCAGGGGCCUGAGUCAGGGCCCACGGCUGGGAAGGGAGCAUAUGCCAGACUCCAAAAACGGGGCCGUGCACUGGGAGCUGGUACCACAUUUAUCAUCCACAUGGCACACCAGGCGGGACUCUCCAUGCGCACUUCGGUUUCCAGUGAGACUUAGCACACUCAGCUCCCUCUUGGGGACUCAGUUUCUCGAUCUGUGCAGCUGGGAGUUUGGCCUGUGUGGUUCCCAAGGUACCAGCUGUGCCAGCCCACAAGUUUCAGAGCUUUCCCAGCUCCCGUCCUGCCCGCGCCAGGGAGGAGCUCAGAGAACCCUUCAGAGGCAGCGAGCGGGAAGACCUCAGCCUCACUCACCUGCAGACGCGGGUCCAGUCAGCAGCGCCCAA